ACCUCCUUUCAAGGAUGUGUUCUGACAACGGUCUGGACGAAAGUCUGGAUGGUUUUGGAAUGCUUCUGAAUAAAGUCCUUGCCUGCAGGAUCGGGUAAGGCACAGCCAGAGAGGCUGCCUGCACUUUUGUGUAACGCGCCGUCAACAUAUCCCUUCCAGCGACAAUCAGAGGACCCUUUUGGGGCUAGUAGCUCAGUUGGUUAGAGCACACGCUUGAUAAGCGUGGGGUCGGAGGUUCAAGUCCUCCCUGGCCCACCAGUCCUCCCUGAUGGGGGCGUAGCUCAGCUGGGAGAGCACCUGCUUUGCAAGCAGGGGGUCGUCGGUUCGAUCCCGUCCGCCUCCACCACACUUUACUGGUGUUGAGAGGGCUGGGAAUGAUUGUCGCCGGAAGAUAAUGGAGAUCGGACGGAUGCCUUGUGGAACCGCGUUGGCGGUGCACGGGGUGUUGCGGUCUGGUAAGUUUGCUCUUUGAUAAGUGAAUAGGUUGGUGCGUUUGUGGACGCGCCUUGAUCGCGGGUUGGUCUGACCCGUGUGAUGGUCCGAGCAGUCGGAGUAUCACAUGCUAAGCGAUUGGGGCGGAUGCGUUCACAAGCGAGUAUGAAUAUGUGUUGAUUGUGCUGAUGCACUGCACUUUCUUAUGUGCGGGCGUUGUUGCUCGAUCUGGCAGUUCUUCACCUGAGCGAUCAGGUAUUGAAGUGUUGGCUUGAGUGGAUGGCUCCUGUGCAUGUGUGGGCAAUGAGCGCGAUAAGGGCAUUCGGUGGA
This 762-nucleotide transfer RNA is filed under the name Komagataeibacter sp. RNAcentral describes it as "partial may contain 16S ribosomal RNA, 16S-23S ribosomal RNA intergenic spacer, and 23S ribosomal RNA". The stretch from base 182 to 255 matches the Rfam family "tRNA". The record is from RNAcentral. Lineage: Bacteria; Pseudomonadati; Pseudomonadota; Alphaproteobacteria; Acetobacterales; Acetobacteraceae.